Molecule: ribosomal RNA, 484 nt
Filed under: uncultured bacterium
Lineage: Bacteria
Description: partial 16S ribosomal RNA
Rfam family: Bacterial small subunit ribosomal RNA
Source: RNAcentral
GUUGAACGCUGGCGGCGUGCCUAACACAUGCAAGUCGAGCGGAUAGACGCAGCUUUCUCCUGGAUUCCGCGGCGGGCGGGUGAGUGAUACCUAGGAGUAUGCCUGGUCUUACGGGAUGACGUCCUGACGCGACCGCUGAUACCACAUCCGUCCUGAUCGUGAAACUGGGGGAUCUUCGGACCUCACGCUCUCUGCUGAACCUAGGUCGGAUGAGCUAGUUGGUGGGGUGAAUGCCUACCAAGGCGACCAUCCGGAGCUGGUCUGAGAGGAGGAUCGGCCACACUGGAACGGAGACACGGUCCAGACGCCUACGGGAGGCAGCAGUGGGGAAUAUUGGGCAAUGGGCGAAAGCCUGACACAGCCAUGCCGCGGGUGUGAAGAAGGUCUUCGGAGCGUAAAGCACUGUUAGUGGGGAGGAAGGGCUGUAAGUUAAGACAUGGCUGUAGUGACGGUACCAAAUGAAUAAGCACCGGCUAACUACGUG